AGAUUGUGUUCCUCAGAACUACGGCAUCAGAUGUGAACAGGAUUGUUCUACAGAUUGCCUGGGUAGUCGAUGUGAGAAUGUCAACGGCUUCUGUGAAGGAUGUAUUGCUGGGAAGUACGGUAAUACCUGUGAAAGGAACUGUCCUGAAAAUUGCAAGGACACGUGUGAAAAGGAAACUGGACACUGUACAGAAUGUAUUCAUGGCAAGUACGGAAACACAUGUGAUCAGAACUGUCCUGGACAUUGUAAAGAUAUGUUGUGUGAAAAGUCCACGGGA
Long non-coding RNA from Pecten maximus, 277 nucleotides. RefSeq lists it as uncharacterized. The record is from RefSeq and is a predicted model, not a curated record. The transcript has 3 exons. NCBI's taxonomy places the organism in Eukaryota, Metazoa, Mollusca, Bivalvia, Pectinida, Pectinidae.